UUCAAAAAAAAUGAAGCAAUUGUCCCUUGACAAACAACAAACUCUCAGGUAUGGAUCCAAACAGCAAAGUGCCCAAACUUUCAUCUCUCCGGUAUAGAUUAUAGAUCUCACUAUGACUACUACAAAAUUCUUUACGAUGAUAUCACUACAAAUUUCUCUCUCACUCUCUCUUAGAUGAUAUAAUGAUCACUACAAAAUUCUCUCUGACUAGAACAAAAUUUAAUUUCUCUCUGAUGGCCGCUACAAAAUUCUCCUAUACGGCUGCAGAAUAUAAUUCAUCUCAGUGCACAAGAAUCAUACGCAUCCAAGAAAGCGCAAGAAAUUCAUCUCAGUGCACCAUCCUGGUCAGUAUCAUUGGCAUCUUGGGGAGAGAGGACGACAAGCGGAUCACGUGCUCUGAGCACACCAGCGGCGGCGGCAGCGCCACGGCCGGGUGCGGUGACCGCGGCGGCGAGGCAGAGCCCACCGCGGACAGCAUUGCCGACGCCGGGGCGGC
RNAcentral lists this long non-coding RNA (496 nucleotides) under Oryza brachyantha (malo sina). RNAcentral's name for it is "long non-coding RNA (OBRA_LNC001626)". Lineage: Eukaryota; Viridiplantae; Streptophyta; Magnoliopsida; Poales; Poaceae. The record is from RNAcentral.